ACUGGGGGGGGGGGGUGUCCCCUCAGCCCAGAUUGUGAGAGGGCGCAGGCCAGGCCGAGGGACCCCACUAGUGCACG
Molecule: non-coding RNA, 77 nt
Organism: Myotis lucifugus (little brown bat)
Lineage: Eukaryota; Metazoa; Chordata; Mammalia; Chiroptera; Vespertilionidae
Source: Rfam